CGCACCUCGAAAUCCCGAAGGCCAACUUCAACAGGGGUGCGCUCGCUUUGCCCCGGAGCCCUAGCAAGGGGCCCUAGGUGCGGGGAGGACACGGAAAUGGUGUUCGCCUCCGCCUUCUGACCUCUUAGCCCCUCACCUCCUACAGGGAGAGGGGCAGAGAUGAAACCGUUGGUCUCGCUAAAUUGCCCAGGCUGAACUCCAAUUUGCCAUCCUCCUGCCUCUGCCUCCCAGUAGCCUGGGAAUACAAGCGUGUGCCAGCACGCUGGUACUGCGAACGACUCCAUUGGGAGAAGGCUCCAGAACCCCAUCUUUCCUCUCCUGUCCUCACCGGCCUCGUCCAGCGUCCGCCCUCCCCCAUACUUCCUUCCUCUUUCCGCCUGGGGCGAAAGCAGAAGUGUCCGAAAGCGCAAAGGAACUGCGGGGGAGCUUGGGGUUCCCGCGCGCGGAGAGAGGGCUGCCGGGCGCCCGCGGGCCCGCCAGGGGGCGCUGCGGGGCGGACGUGCGCUUAGCUGCUCAGACCCGGACUCUCCCGCGGAUCCUCGCAGAAAGCCCAGGACAGCGACGCAGUUGUUGGAGGGAAGAGCAGGAAACCCAGCCGUCCCUUCAGUCAGCACCAGCUGCUCCAGGCGAGAUCUUUGCCCUGCAUCCUGCGUGCAGAAAUGCAAAAGACCGGCGGGCAUGUUGGCGCACGCCUGUACUCCCAGCACUCUGGGAGGCUGAGGCAGAAGAAUUGUAAAUUGAGGUCCAGCCCAGCAACUUAGUGAGACUGUGUCUUAAGUUUUUAAAAUAACGAAAGAGCUGAGGAGAAAGACAGAGACGGAGGGAGUAACCGUGGAUACCCUUUGCUCCAAAUGCCCCAGGCUGAGGCUCAGGCGGCGCCUCAAAGUCGGGCUCAGGAUUUAGGACUGGAGCCAGCCUGCGGGAUCCGGCUCCAGCCCCAUCAUUUCCAGCUCU
Heterocephalus glaber (naked mole-rat) is the source of this 954-nucleotide non-coding RNA. The record is from RefSeq and is a predicted model, not a curated record. Lineage: Eukaryota; Metazoa; Chordata; Mammalia; Rodentia; Bathyergidae.